Molecule: ribosomal RNA, 429 nt
Filed under: Acidobacteriota bacterium
Lineage: Bacteria; Pseudomonadati; Acidobacteriota
Description: Acidobacteria bacterium partial 16S ribosomal RNA
Rfam family: Bacterial small subunit ribosomal RNA
Source: RNAcentral
UGGGGAAUUUUGGACAAUGGGGGAAACCCUGAUCCAGCCAUCCCGCGUGUGCGAUGAAGGCCUUCGGGUUGUAAAGCACUUUUGGCAGGAAAGAAACGUCAUGGGUUAAUACCCCGUGAAACUGACGGUACCUGCAGAAUAAGCACCGGCUAACUACGUGCCAGCAGCCGCGGUAUAACGUAGGGUGCAAGCGUUAAUCGGAAUUACUGGGCGUAAAGCGUGCGCAGGCGGUUCGGAAAGAAAGAUGUGAAAUCCCAGAGCUCAACUUUGGAACUGCAUUUUUAACUACCGGGCUAGAGUGUGUCAGAGGGAGGUGGAAUUCCGCGUGUAGCAGUGAAAUGCGUAGAUAUGCGGAGGAACACCGAUGGCGAAGGCAGCCUCCUGGGAUAACACUGACGCUCAUGCACGAAAGCGUGGGGAGCAAACAGG